This 1551-nucleotide ribosomal RNA is filed under the name Staphylococcus aureus 08BA02176. RNAcentral describes it as "16S ribosomal RNA". It matches the Rfam family "Bacterial small subunit ribosomal RNA". The record is from RNAcentral. Lineage: Bacteria; Bacillati; Bacillota; Bacilli; Caryophanales; Staphylococcaceae.
UUUAUGGAGAGUUUGAUCCUGGCUCAGGAUGAACGCUGGCGGCGUGCCUAAUACAUGCAAGUCGAGCGAACGGACGAGAAGCUUGCUUCUCUGAUGUUAGCGGCGGACGGGUGAGUAACACGUGGAUAACCUACCUAUAAGACUGGGAUAACUUCGGGAAACCGGAGCUAAUACCGGAUAAUAUUUUGAACCGCAUGGUUCAAAAGUGAAAGACGGUCUUGCUGUCACUUAUAGAUGGAUCCGCGCUGCAUUAGCUAGUUGGUAAGGUAACGGCUUACCAAGGCAACGAUGCAUAGCCGACCUGAGAGGGUGAUCGGCCACACUGGAACUGAGACACGGUCCAGACUCCUACGGGAGGCAGCAGUAGGGAAUCUUCCGCAAUGGGCGAAAGCCUGACGGAGCAACGCCGCGUGAGUGAUGAAGGUCUUCGGAUCGUAAAACUCUGUUAUUAGGGAAGAACAUAUGUGUAAGUAACUGUGCACAUCUUGACGGUACCUAAUCAGAAAGCCACGGCUAACUACGUGCCAGCAGCCGCGGUAAUACGUAGGUGGCAAGCGUUAUCCGGAAUUAUUGGGCGUAAAGCGCGCGUAGGCGGUUUUUUAAGUCUGAUGUGAAAGCCCACGGCUCAACCGUGGAGGGUCAUUGGAAACUGGAAAACUUGAGUGCAGAAGAGGAAAGUGGAAUUCCAUGUGUAGCGGUGAAAUGCGCAGAGAUAUGGAGGAACACCAGUGGCGAAGGCGACUUUCUGGUCUGUAACUGACGCUGAUGUGCGAAAGCGUGGGGAUCAAACAGGAUUAGAUACCCUGGUAGUCCACGCCGUAAACGAUGAGUGCUAAGUGUUAGGGGGUUUCCGCCCCUUAGUGCUGCAGCUAACGCAUUAAGCACUCCGCCUGGGGAGUACGACCGCAAGGUUGAAACUCAAAGGAAUUGACGGGGACCCGCACAAGCGGUGGAGCAUGUGGUUUAAUUCGAAGCAACGCGAAGAACCUUACCAAAUCUUGACAUCCUUUGACAACUCUAGAGAUAGAGCCUUCCCCUUCGGGGGACAAAGUGACAGGUGGUGCAUGGUUGUCGUCAGCUCGUGUCGUGAGAUGUUGGGUUAAGUCCCGCAACGAGCGCAACCCUUAAGCUUAGUUGCCAUCAUUAAGUUGGGCACUCUAAGUUGACUGCCGGUGACAAACCGGAGAAGGUGGGGAUGACGUCAAAUCAUCAUGCCCCUUAUGAUUUGGGCUACACACGUGCUACAAUGGACAAUACAAAGGGCAGCGAAACCGCGAGGUCAAGCAAAUCCCAUAAAGUUGUUCUCAGUUCGGAUUGUAGUCUGCAACUCGACUACAUGAAGCUGGAAUCGCUAGUAAUCGUAGAUCAGCAUGCUACGGUGAAUACGUUCCCGGGUCUUGUACACACCGCCCGUCACACCACGAGAGUUUGUAACACCCGAAGCCGGUGGAGUAACCUUUUAGGAGCUAGCCGUCGAAGGUGGGACAAAUGAUUGGGGUGAAGUCGUAACAAGGUAGCCGUAUCGGAAGGUGCGGCUGGAUCACCUCCUUU